UCACUCUGAGCCCAAUACCAUCCCAUACACCGGGCUCUUUCCUAGGGGGCACUUGUAGUUGCCCCUAUCAGACUCUUUUCUGGCUCUUGAGGCAUGGAGGGAGCAUGGAAGAGCAGGAAGACAAAAAGAACCAAGAAUAUCACGGGAAGGAGGAACCUGCAUUGCCAUGGUUUUCCUCUGUUGUUUAGCACAAUAAAACGAACUCUAUAUCAUCAUAAUUCCUGCUGACCUCUCAGCCGCUGAGCCCUCAACCUCUCGCGUCCACCCCCUUAGCUGGCUGCUCUGUCUCGCACAGGUCGCGACCAGCGCUCGGGGCAGUCCGUGACGUCAUGGCUCGCGGCUCCCUCCACCCCUCCCCUCCCCAGACUGAGGAGAGCCAGGCUGGCUUCCUCUGUCUUCUCAAAGGCUCCCUGGGGUGGGAAAUCAAAUGAAUUCACAGCAGGACAUGGGUCUGUUUCAGGUUGGCUCCAGAGGGAAAUGUGGCGUAGCACUGAUUUGAAUACAAACAAUCUUGAAACAUUUACACUCCGGCGCAUCUACUCUUGCAGGAGAGACAACACAUCCUGGGACUCACCCAGAAAAUUAUGUCAGAAAGCUUUUACAUCCAUGUCAACUAGGGAGUAGAAGAUCCCCAACUAGAAAUCUCAUCUCUGAACUACCAGCUGAGAAGCCUUACCAGAACAAGAUACAUUCAAAUCACGUCAACUUCGAACAUGAUCUAUGUUAUGAGCCUCUUAUCCUCUGAUUUCCAAGUUGGAGAACUGGAUUUUUAUCUGCCACACGAGAUGAGGAAACGGAGGCAAACGGGAUCAAGUGACUUGUUCAGAUAUUUGAACUCAGGUCUUCCUAACUCCGGGUCCAGCACUCUAUCCACUGAACCACCUAGUAGCCCUUGGUCAAUCUAGGUAAGAAGGAAAAAUCAUGUCCCCCUGUGUUAUUUUUUUUAAGCCUUCUCUUCUGUCUUAGUAUCAUUCCUACAUAUUAAUUCCAAGGCAGAAGAGCAGUAAGGGUUAGGUAAUGGGGGUUAAGUGGCUUGCCCAGGGUCACCCAGCUAGGAAGUAUCUGAAUCCAGUUUUGAACCCAGGACCUCCAGAUUCUGGCACUGUAUCUAACCAGCUGCCCUCCUAUAAACUGUUUUUAACUUGAGUUUCUGAUGCUUCAAUAUUUGCUUAAAAUGCUUAAAAUUUGGCAUACAUCCUAGUGAGUGGUUUUCUUACCUUAAAAAUGUGUGUAUUUCUUUAAAUGUCAUAUUUUAAAGUGCCCUAUUUUGUUCCAGUUGUAUGUCACACCCUAACUAAGUAGCUACCUGCCUUUCCCAAUCCUGGUUCCAGCCUCACUGCACAAGCAGUUGGAAUACUUGUGUUUUAUUGAUCAGGGUACUCUCUCCCAUGGACACCGAUGAAGACACAGCAAUCAAUUCUCAUUCACUGAUUCAUCUUUUUCAACAUUUUUCAAGGCACACCAAACCCCUAUCAUUACAAUUCUUCUCCAUGAUAGAUAUUACAAUUCCCAGGAGUUCAGUUUAUCUCACCCUUGGAUCAUAAGAUGUAGAAGAAGGGGUCUAAAGAUCAUCUAGCUCAAAUGCUUCAUUUUAUAAGAAAUUGAGAUCCAGAGAGGCAAAGAGCAACUACUUGGUCAAGUAAGGGCAUCUGCUGGUGCAGUAGAUAGAGCACUGAGCCUGGAGUCAGGAAGACCUGAAUUCAAAUGUGAUCUUAGACACUUUCUUUCUGAGUGACCCUGGACAGUUCAUUUCAGCCUGCUUGCCUCAGUUUCCUCACCUGCAAA
Molecule: long non-coding RNA, 1785 nt
Organism: Monodelphis domestica (gray short-tailed opossum)
Lineage: Eukaryota; Metazoa; Chordata; Mammalia; Didelphimorphia; Didelphidae
Source: Ensembl